Molecule: transfer RNA, 90 nt
Filed under: Roseomonas sp.
Lineage: Bacteria; Pseudomonadati; Pseudomonadota; Alphaproteobacteria; Acetobacterales; Roseomonadaceae
Also listed under: 2 other names
Description: tRNA-Ser
Rfam family: tRNA
About the family: Transfer RNA (tRNA) molecules are approximately 80 nucleotides in length. Their secondary structure includes four short double-helical elements and three loops (D, anti-codon, and T loops). Further hydrogen bonds mediate the characteristic L-shaped molecular structure. tRNAs have two regions of fundamental functional importance: the anti-codon, which is responsible for specific mRNA codon recognition, and the 3' end, to which the tRNAs corresponding amino acid is attached (by aminoacyl-tRNA synthetases). tRNAs cope with the degeneracy of the genetic code in two manners: having more than one tRNA (with a specific anti-codon) for a particular amino acid; and 'wobble' base-pairing, i.e. permitting non-standard base-pairing at the 3rd anti-codon position.
Source: RNAcentral
GGAUGGGUGGCCGAGCGGUUUAAGGCACCGGUCUUGAAAACCGGCGUAGGUGCAAGCCUACCGUGGGUUCGAAUCCCACCCCAUCCGCCA